Molecule: ribosomal RNA, 201 nt
Filed under: uncultured bacterium
Lineage: Bacteria
Description: partial 16S ribosomal RNA
Rfam family: Bacterial small subunit ribosomal RNA
Source: RNAcentral
ACGCUCGACACCUACGGGAAGCAGCAGUGGGGAAUAUUGGGCAAUGGAGGCAACUCUGACCCAGCAACGCCGCGUGAAUGAUGAAGGUCUUCGGAUUGUAAAGUUCUGUGACGGGGGACGAACACAAUGACGGUACCCCGAUAGCAAGCCACGGCUAACUACGUGCUAGCAGCCGCGGUAAUCUGAGCGGGCUGGCAAGGC